UGGGUAGUAUCUAUUAGAACUACACCUCAUUGAAGUGGGAAUAAUUAAUUCAUGAAGCAUUCUACUUUAGUUAAUAGUAAUAGUAGAGUCUAAACACAACUGAUUGAAAUGAAAUUCUGCCUUGAUCCAAAAAGGACUAGGACAGAGGG
This is a regulatory RNA element of 149 nucleotides. It matches the Rfam family "pan motif". The record is from Rfam.